AAUGAACGUUGGCGGCGUGGAUUAGGCAUGCAAGUCGAGCGGUAGGGAACUGCUCACCCGGUAUCAUUUAGCCCGGCCAUCAUGGCCGGGUUUGAGUGAUCCAGGUGAGCAGUUCCUGAGAGCGGCGAAAGGGAGAGUAAUACGUAGUUACGUGCCCCGAGGUCCGGAAUAGCCACGGGAAACUGUGGGUAAUGCCGGAUGUUGUCUUCGGACUAAAGGUGUGAUUCCGCCUUGGGAGCGGACUGCGUUGUACUAGCUAGUUGGUGGGGUAAUGGCCUACCAAGGCGAUGAUGCAUAGCGGGCGUGAGAGCGUGGCCCGCCUCACUGGGACUGAGACACUGCCCAGACACCUACGGGUGGCUGCAGUCGAGAAUCUUCGGCAAUGGGCGAAAGCCUGACCGAGCGACGCCGCGUGCGGGAUGAAGGCCUUCGGGUUGUAAACCGCUGUCGUAGGGGAGGAAAUUGAUCGGGGUUCUCCCCGGUUAUUGACCUAUCCUAGGAGGAAGGACGGGCUAAGUUCGUGCCAGCCGCCGCAGUAAGAC
Molecule: ribosomal RNA, 542 nt
Filed under: uncultured bacterium
Lineage: Bacteria
Description: bacterial SSU rRNA
Rfam family: Bacterial small subunit ribosomal RNA
Source: RNAcentral